GAUGAACGCUGGCGGCGUGCCUAAUACAUGCAAGUCGAGCGAACAGACGAGGAGCUUGCUCCUCUGACGUUAGCGGCGGACGGGUGAGUAACACGUGGAUAACCUACCUAUAAGACUGGGAUAACUUCGGGAAACCGGAGCUACUACCGGCUAAUAUAUUGAACCGCAUGGUUCAAUAGUGAAAGACGGUUUUGCUGUCACUUAUAGAUGGAUCCGCGCCGCAUUAGCUAGUUGGUAAGGUAACGGCUUACCAAGGCAACGAUGCGUAGCCGACCUGAGAGGGUGAUCGGCCACACUGGAACUGAGACACGGUCCAGACUCCUACGGGAGGCAGCAGUAGGGAAUCUUCCGCAAUGGGCGAAAGCCUGACGGAGCAACGCCGCGUGAGUGAUGAAGGUCUUCGGAUCGUAAAACUCUGUUAUUAGGGAAGAACAAAUGUGGAAGUAACUAUGCACGUCUUGACGGUACCUAAUCAGAAAGCCACGGCUAACUACGUG
RNAcentral lists this ribosomal RNA (497 nucleotides) under uncultured bacterium. RNAcentral's name for it is "partial 16S ribosomal RNA". It matches the Rfam family "Bacterial small subunit ribosomal RNA", at positions 28 to 507 of the family's 1533-position model. The record is from RNAcentral.